GGGCGAACGCUGGCGGCGUGCUUAACACAUGCAAGUCGAGCGGUAAGGCCCUUUCGGGGGUACACGAGCGGCGAACGGGUGAGUAACGCGUGGAUGACCUGCCCUUUAGUGGGGAAUAACCCGGGGAAACUCGGGCUAAUACCGCAUAAGACCGAGAGGUGAAAGCGGGGUCGCAAGAUCUCGUGCUAAUGGAGGGGUCCGCGUUCGAUUAGCUAGUUGGUAGGGUAAUGGCCUACCAAGGCGACGAUCGAUAGCCGGCCUGAGAGGGUGAUCGGCCACACUGGAACUGAGACACGGUCCAGACUCCUACGGGAGGCAGCAGUGGGGAAUCUUGCGCAAUGGGCGAAAGCCUGACGCAGCGACGCCGCGUGAAGGAUGAAAUCCCUCGGGAUGUAAACUUCGCAAGAACGGGAAGAAUAAGCGAG
RNAcentral lists this ribosomal RNA (425 nucleotides) under uncultured bacterium. RNAcentral describes it as "bacterial SSU rRNA". It matches the Rfam family "Bacterial small subunit ribosomal RNA", at positions 27 to 457 of the family's 1533-position model. The record is from RNAcentral.